ACAUGCAAGUCGAGGGGCAGCGCGAGUAGCAAUACUUGGCGGCGACCGGCGCAAGGGUGCGUAACGCGUGAGCAACAUGCCCGUAUCAGGGGGGAUAAUCCAGGGAAACUUGGUCUAAUACCCCAUAGUAAUUUUGUAAGGCAUCUUAUAAGAUUUUAAAGCUUUGGUGGAUACGGAUUGGCUCGCGUGACAUUAGGCUGGAUGGUAAGGUAACGGCUUACCAUGGCUAUGAUGUCUAGGGGUUCUGAGAGGAAGGUCCCCCACACUGGAACUGAGACACGGUCCAGACUCCUACGGGAGGCAGCAGUGAGGAAUAUUGGACAAUGGAUGGAAAUCUGAUCCAGCCAUGCCGCGUGAAAAGGAAGAAGGUCCUAUGGAUUGUAAACUUCUUUUGUAUGGGAGCAAUAAGGCCUACGAGUAGGUUGAUGAGAGUACCAUACGAAUAAGCACCGGCUAACUCCGUGCCAGCCGCCGC
RNAcentral lists this ribosomal RNA (475 nucleotides) under uncultured bacterium. RNAcentral's name for it is "bacterial SSU rRNA". It matches the Rfam family "Bacterial small subunit ribosomal RNA", at positions 53 to 518 of the family's 1533-position model. The record is from RNAcentral.